AGUGAACGCUGGCGGUAGGCCUAACACAUGCAAGUCGAACGGCAGCACAGUAAGAGCUUGCUCUUACGGGUGGCGAGUGGCGGACGGGUGAGGAAUACAUCGGAAUCUACUUUUUCGUGGGGGAUAACGUAGGGAAACUUACGCUAAUACCGCAUACGACCUACGGGUGAAAGCAGGGGAUCUUCGGACCUUGCGCGAUUGAAUGAGCCGAUGUCGGAUUAGCUAGUUGGCGGGGUAAAGGCCCACCAAGGCGACGAUCCGUAGCUGGUCUGAGAGGAUGAUCAGCCACACUGGAACUGAGACACGGUCCAGACUCCUACGGGAGGCAGCAGUGGGGAAUAUGGGACAAUGGGCGCAAGCCUGAUCCAGCCAUACCGCGUGGGUGAAGAAGGCCUUCGGGUUGUAAAGCCCUUUUGUUGGGAAAGAAAAGCAGCAGGUUAAUACCCCGCUGUUCUGACGGUACCCAAAGAAUAAGCACCGGCUAACUUCG
RNAcentral lists this ribosomal RNA (490 nucleotides) under uncultured bacterium. Its description in RNAcentral is "partial 16S ribosomal RNA". It matches the Rfam family "Bacterial small subunit ribosomal RNA", at positions 29 to 505 of the family's 1533-position model. The record is from RNAcentral.